AUUGAACGCUGGCGGCAGGCCUAACACAUGCAAGUCGAACGGUAACGGGCCUUCGGCUUCCGACUAGGGGCGAACAGGGGAGGAAGAGAGCGGAACAUGCCCGAACGUGGGGGAUAACGAGGCGAAAGGUUGGCUAAUAUACCCUACGAUCGACGAAGAAAAGCGGGGGAAAGCAGGGGAUUUCGGGGACUGGCCGGCCGGUGGGAGCUGAGGUCGGUUUAGCUAGAUGGGGGGAUAAAGGCCAACCAAGGCGACGAUCCGUAGCUGGUGUGAGAGGAUGAUCAGCCACACUGGGACUGAGACACGGCCCAGACUCCUACGGGAGGCAGCAGUGGGGAAUUUUGGACAAUGGGCGCAAGCCUGAUCCAGCCAUGCCGCGUGCAGGAUGAAGGCCUUCGGGUUGUAAACUGCUUUUGUACGGAACGAAAAGCAUUCUUUUAAUACAGGAGGGUCAUGACGGUACCGUAAGAAUAAGCACCGGCUAACUACGUG
This 492-nucleotide ribosomal RNA is filed under the name uncultured bacterium. RNAcentral's name for it is "partial 16S ribosomal RNA". It matches the Rfam family "Bacterial small subunit ribosomal RNA", at positions 29 to 507 of the family's 1533-position model. The record is from RNAcentral.